UACGUAGGGGGCUAGCGUUAUCCGGAAUUACUGGGCGUAAAGGGUGCGUAGGUGGUUUCUUAAGUCAGAGGUGAAAGUCUACGGCUCAACCGUAGUAAGCCUUUGAAACUGAGAAACUUGAGUGCAGGAGAGGAGAGUAGAAUUCCUAGUGUAGCGGUGAAAUGCGUAGAUAUUAGGAGGAACACCAGUUGCGAAGGCGGCUCUCUGGACUGUAACUGACACUGAGGCACGAAAGCGUGGGGAGCAAACAGGAUUAGAUACCCCGGUAGUCCCUGAGCGGG
RNAcentral lists this ribosomal RNA (281 nucleotides) under uncultured prokaryote. RNAcentral describes it as "partial 16S ribosomal RNA". It matches the Rfam family "Bacterial small subunit ribosomal RNA", at positions 524 to 803 of the family's 1533-position model. The record is from RNAcentral.